GAGCUGCCUAAUUAGAAUAUUAAUAAUUAUUUUUAUUUUUAAAAUAAACAUCAUUUUUAAAAGCCUUACAAAUAAUAACAUCAUAUGUCAAGAAUAAGUACACCCAUGGAUCUUAUGGAUAACACUGAAGUAUAGGAUAAAUAUAAAAACAGCUUUCUGGAGAAGGUUUUUGGGAAGUGACCCAAAAACAAAUAUGAAAAGAAAAAGAAAAUUCUACCCUGAGCUCAAGUUCCAUAAUGUUCUGUGCAAAGAGGUCAGAGCUACUAGGAAACUCAAAAGUCUUUCUAAUAAGAACCAAGGACAGAGCUCAGUGGUACUAUGAUCAUUGGAAAGGUGGGGCUGAGAGUGGGAAUGUAUAGCAUCCUGGAAGGGAGAACUAGAUAGAUCUUCUGUAUAUAAAUUCUGCACAAAUCUGUAUUAGGAUUAACCACCCAUGCAUGAACCCAUGCUGCUCAGAGAGCAGCUUACUGAAGAGGAUACAUGAGUAAAACGGGAUCUAGUCCCCUAUUUAAGACAGAAUUUGAAUUCUAAGGCAACCACAUUAAUUACCUGCUUAGGAAAAAAUUCAUCAUUCCUGAAGAAUAUAACAAAAUUCAGAACCUCUACAACAUAAUAGCCACAUUCUAUGUGUUGACUUUAUCUGGCCUAUUUCUAUAUAAAAGACUUAUUCUGAAGUUAUUAGGUAUUACCUCAUACAAGAUAUUAGCAUUAAUGAGAAAAUAAUUUAAGGCAGUUAUAAUUUUGCCCCAUAUGUGAAGGAAAAUAUGAUUAUAAUGAAUAAAAAUAUAUGACAUCUCAACAAAGAAAGUGAAAUUUUAUAUGUAACUUGUCUAUCUCUAAUGUGUAUAAAUAUGUUACUUAUAUAUUAUAUAUCAAAUAGAAAUUCUAGAGAUGAAAAGUAUAUCUGAAAGAAAAAGAUUGAUUGGGUAGGCUUAGUAGCAGAAUGGAGAUGGCAGAACAGUCAUUAAACUUCAUAAAUACAAAUAGAGAACAAAGUGUAGAACCAAAUACAGACUUGGCAGAAAUUGAUGGUUUUCCUUGAAAUCAUUUUAAACAAUGUUAUUUUAGGAACGUGUCUGCUGUAGGCAGAAUAAUGGUUUCUGUAAAGAUACUCAUAUUCCCAGGACCUGGGAAUAUGUUUUCCUGCUGGUCAGAAGUUCUCAUUAGCUUCUGUGCCUGUUUCAGCUGCCCUCUAGUUUAAGACCCCUUUCUUGUAAUGUGUAUUAGACAUCUAUUGCUGCAGUAGCUUAUAGAAUCUUAAAGUAUUAUAUCAUAUCUUCUGUUGAUCAAGAAGCUUAGUUAAGUAGUUCUAAGUCAAGUCUCAGAAGGUUACAGUCUAUUGAACUGUGAGGUUACCACAAUUAUUGUCUAAAUGAGCAUCCAUUUUCAAGUUCAUUCAUGUGGCUGUUGACUGAUUUAGAAAAAAAUGUUUCUAAGGUCCUUCUUGUUAACUUCUCCCCAAACUGUACCAGCUAUUGUACAUGAAAGAGCACCUAAGAAAAAACUCAUAGUCUUUAAAAUACACAACUUUGAAUGUAACAUCCUGUUAUUCCGUUAUAUUCAACUUA
Molecule: long non-coding RNA, 1568 nt
Filed under: Mus musculus (house mouse)
Lineage: Eukaryota; Metazoa; Chordata; Mammalia; Rodentia; Muridae
Description: long non-coding RNA chr3:67376516-67378084
Source: RNAcentral